UCUUCCCUCUGCCUCCCUCCUUUCUAGGGGCUGCCUCCUAGAAAAUCCUUCUGAUGGCUAACCUUUAUCAUUGAUGCAUCUCAAUACAGGAACCAAAGAGGAACCCCUGUCCUGGAGAACACACCUUCAAGAGGGGCUUAGGGGCCAACCUCUGAGUUCUUUAUGUGAGACUUUCAUUAUACCCCACUUCAGAGCAUAUACAACCAUUCCAGCUGAGACAUGGUUCCCCAUCCCCAUCUCCCAGCUGCACGCUUAUUUCCUCCCAUCUCUCUGUCUCCAUUUUACACAGGGUGUAAGAAUAAUAGCUCGACCGGGUGCGGUGGCUCACGCCUGUAACUCCAGCACUUUGGGAGGCCGAGGUGGGCAGAUCACUAGAGGUCAGGAGUUUGAGACCAGCCUGGCCAAUAUGGUGAAACUCUGUCUCUAUUAAAAAUUACAAAAAAUUGGCCAGGCAUGGUAGCGGGAGCCUGUAGUCCCAGCUACUCGGGAGGCUGAGGCAGGAGAAUCGCUUGAACCCGGGAAGCGGAGGUUGCAGUGAGCUGAGAUCACACCACUGCACUCCAGCCUGGGCGACAGAACGAGACUCUGUCUCAAACAAACAAACAAACAAACAAGAAUAAUAGCUAACAGUAUAUUUCACUGUUAAAUCUUUAGUAGCCCAUUUUACAGUUGAGAACAGUGAGGUACAAAGAGGUAAAGUAAUUUGCUGGAGGUAAAGCUGUGAAUCCAGGUGCUCUGACACUCAAAUUGAUACUCUGGGCUUUGCAUUUGGGGCAGGGAGGACUAGCACCACUUUCUGAGGUCUCUGCUUUUCUGGCUCUACCUGCAGCCUGUUCUCCCAGCCCCCUCCCCUCUUUAAUCGCUCACCUCCCUUCACCCCACCCAUGUCUUUGACUUGUCAUUAUCUUCACUUCUUUCAAAUCCUGAUUUAAAGGGAGACACACAGGCACUCCCGUCAGCACCAGGGUUUUACACCCAGGGCCUGGCAGGUGCUGGAAAUUCCAGCAAUACCCCACACCUGGCAUCCCUUCAAGGGAACUACAGCUUUUGCAGCUGAGGCCUCUGCAGGCAGCAAGUUUCAGUGGUCACCACUGAGAUGGUAAGGUGAGGACAGGGGAAGCUGGCAUUUUUGGCCUUGAUACCGGAGAAAGACAAGGGAUACCCUGUUUUGAGGUGGGGGGUGGGUACAGAGAGAGAUGGGCACUGACCUCUGAUUCAUUAGCCUAGAACCCUUAGGGAAGUUUUCCUAGGUAUUCUUGCAGAAAGCAGAAAUGGAG
This 1277-nucleotide long non-coding RNA is filed under the name Homo sapiens (human). Its description in RNAcentral is "HSALNT0015755". Lineage: Eukaryota; Metazoa; Chordata; Mammalia; Primates; Hominidae. The record is from RNAcentral.